GGUCAGCAGCCCGACUCCCUUCCCUUCUCCCCUUUCAUCUUCUUCUCUUCGUCUCCAUCACGCGCACCCAAGACACACAGUGAGGCCGUGAGAGAGACGAUGCCACGAGAGAGAUUCAGAGUAGACCGAGACUGAGAGAGUAAGACGCGGUAAUGGGAGCCCGGGGUGGAGACCCGAUCAGUGGGUCGUCACCGGUGGCCGGAGCAGACGACGCCGGUGAUGCUAGGAGGUGCGAUUUUCGGUAGACUGAAGGUGAUUUCCGGCCGAUCCUUCGACGGGUUGUCAUCGGUGAGCCAGAGAAACUGAUGGGAGAGUUGGGUCCGGUGGAUCGUUGCCGGAGGAGCCUGAGGAGCCGAUCUUCUGAUGGGUCUUCAAUGGUGCAAAAUCCGGUGGAAUCAGGGGUUGAUUUCGGUGGCUGGGAGGUGUGAAUUCCGGUGAAAUUUCCGGUAGUUCCUAAGCUCGGUUUUAGUAGGAUAGAGUCUGGAUUGGAGACUUCAAUUGGUUCUCCAGUGUAGAGUUUGAGUCAUAAGUCCAAUGCAGCCAGGUAAGUAUUCUACUCAUUGAGAAGUAUUAUUUUCAUAUAUGAUGAAUUGAAAAAUAUACAUAUUGUUUUACAAACCUGAACCAACUGUAUCUUGAUUAUGAUUUGUUUUGGAUGAUUUGAAUACUUUUGAGUAUAUUGAAAUUAUGAUGAUGUUUUGAAGUAUAAAUAUGAUAUGUGAUUUUAGAGCGA
Alnus glutinosa is the source of this 733-nucleotide long non-coding RNA. RefSeq lists it as uncharacterized. The transcript is spliced from 2 exons. The record is from RefSeq and is a predicted model, not a curated record. Lineage: Eukaryota; Viridiplantae; Streptophyta; Magnoliopsida; Fagales; Betulaceae.